Molecule: ribosomal RNA, 495 nt
Filed under: uncultured bacterium
Lineage: Bacteria
Description: partial 16S ribosomal RNA
Rfam family: Bacterial small subunit ribosomal RNA
Source: RNAcentral
GACGAACGCUGGCGGCGUGCCUAAUACAUGCAAGUAGAACGCUGAAGGAGGAGCUUGCUUCUCUGGAUGAGUUGCGAACGGGUGAGUAACGCGUAGGUAACCUGCCUGGUAGCGGGGGAUAACUAUUGGAAACGAUAGCUAAUACCGCAUAAGAGUAGAUGUUGCAUGACAUUUGCUUAAAAGGUGCAAUUGCAUCACUACUAGAUGGACCUGCGUUGUAUUAGCUAGUUGGUGAGGUAACGGCUCACCAAGGCAACGAUACAUAGCCGGCCUGAGAGGGUGAUCGGCCAAACUGGGACUGAAACACGGCCCAGACUCCUACGGGAGGCAGCAGUGGGGAAUCUUCGGCAAUGGACGGAAGUCUGACCGAGCAACGCCGCGUGAGUGAAGAAGGUUUUCGGAUCGUAAAGCUCUGUUGUGAGGGAAGAACGAGUGUGGGAGUGGAAAGUUCACGCUGUGACGGUAUCUUACCAGAAAGGGACGGCUAACUACGUG